Molecule: small nuclear RNA, 133 nt
Organism: Aphidius gifuensis
Lineage: Eukaryota; Metazoa; Arthropoda; Insecta; Hymenoptera; Braconidae
Product: U4atac minor spliceosomal RNA
Exons: 1
Source: RefSeq, a predicted model, not a curated record
GAUGUCCUUGUCUUCGGGGAGCAUAGUAUUCAAUGAACGUAUAGUGAGGGUACUGAUGCUGAAACCCAUUACAAUAAUUAUUAUCGCAUCCGUGUAUUUAUAUUAAAAUACAUGUGUUGCAAUUUUUGAAAGG